RNAcentral lists this long non-coding RNA (401 nucleotides) under Homo sapiens (human). Its description in RNAcentral is "non-protein coding LINC01801:22". The record is from RNAcentral. Lineage: Eukaryota; Metazoa; Chordata; Mammalia; Primates; Hominidae.
UGUGAUGCCUCCCUGGGCUACAUGACAGAGGGUGCACUGCAAAGGAUGUGAAGGAAAGUCACCACAGGGCAAAGGUGGAAACCCAGGGGCCUUUCCCCAGUGAGACUUUCUGGCUGUUCCUUUGGAACUUCCACCUGCUAGUUGCAGAUGUUUGCCACUGGAUGGGGCCCCAUGCUACGUGGGAACUGUUCAGGACUGUGGGUACUUAGUUCCAGCAGAGCUGGCUCCACCAGGGCACCAGGACUGCAGGCUUCUCAACUCCUGGCCUGGAGAGGCAGCUUCAGCAACCAGUGCCUGGGAAUCCACUAGCCCUUUCUCUGUGAGUCACGUGAGGGCAGAAUCUGCUCAAAGUCAGAGGGCUGGAGCAACCUGGAUUGUGCCAGAGUGAGGGCCCAGCUCAC